This 1021-nucleotide long non-coding RNA is filed under the name Homo sapiens (human). Its description in RNAcentral is "HSALNT0155323". Lineage: Eukaryota; Metazoa; Chordata; Mammalia; Primates; Hominidae. The record is from RNAcentral.
AUCUAGCUACGGAAUCCGGUCGAGAUGGACAUGUGACCCUCUCUUGGCCAAUCAGAGGCUUUCCUGCUGGAAGGGCUGCUGGAAGCCAUCUUCGCACGGUUCUUCCCUUGGCUUUAGAGCCCCGAAGCGCUCUUUGACUUGAGCUGCUUUGCAUUCUCUCUGUCCUGCCAUCGAGAAAGUUCUGAGCGGCUCAGAAGUAAUACUGACACUAAAAUGAGAGAAUGGAGCUGGGCGCAGUGGUUCACGCCUGUAAUCCCUGCACUUUGGGAGGCCGAGGCAGGCAAAUCACCUGAGGUCAGGAGUUCCAGACCGGCUGGGCAACAUGGUGAAACCCUGUCUCUACUAAAAAUAUGAAAAAAAGUUAGCCAGGCGUCCGCGUGCCUGUAAUUCCAGCUACUCAGGAGACUGAGGCAGGAGAAUCGCUUGAACCUGGGAGGCAGAGGUUGCAGUGAGCCGAGAUCACGCCACUGCACUCCAGCCUGGGCGAUAAGAGUGAAACUCUGUCUCAAAAUAAAUAAAUAAAUAAAUAAAUAAAUAAUCUUAAAAAAAAUAAAAAGAAAACUAGAGAAUGAUGACUUCUGUUUACCAUGUGCCUGGUUUCCUGUCCUGUCUGUGAUCCUGUUGCUGUUUGCUGUCAACUGUUCCUGCUUCAGUGAUAUUAGAAGGGUUCAAGGAGAAUGUGGGUCCCCUCCUUGCCUGCUCUGGGCCUUCCCCUGUUUCUGGCCUGUUUCAUCUCCACCCCCGUUGGAUCUGAGCUCCUUGAGGGUGGCCCCUACACCCUGCAGUGCUGAGCAUUGGGAGGUGUGAGGGUUGCUGAAGGCUGGGGGUUGGUGCUUUUCUUCAUUCAGCAGUCAUCAUUUAUUGAGCACCCACUGUUUGCCAGCUCCUUGGCUAAGCAUUUCAAGCCCUGUUCCAUGGGCUCAGUCUUCCAGGGGCUGGCCGCUAACUACGCAUCGAUUGAUUUCCAGAAGGACAGAAGCACAUAGCAGGGCCUGGUCUCCACUGGGGGUGCCAGGAGCUG